UCAUCUUCGGGGGUAGAGCACUGUUUCGGCUAGGGGGUCAUCCCGACUUACCAACCCGAUGCAAACUACGAAUACCGAAGAAUGUUAUCACGGGAGACACACGGCGGGUGCUAACGUCCGUCGUGAAGAGGGAAACAACCCAGACCGCCAGCUAAGGUCCCAAAGUCAUGGUUAAGUGGGAAACGAUGUGGGAAGGCCCAGACAGCCAGGAUGUUGGCUUAGAAGCAGCCAUCAUUUAAAGAAAGCGUAAUAGCUCACUGGUCGAGUCGGCCUGCGCGGAAGAUGUAACGGGGCUAAACCAUGCACCGAAGCUGCGGCAGCGACACUAUGUGUUGUUGGGUAGGGGAGCGUUCUGUAAGCCGUUGAAGGUGGCCUGUGAGGGUUGCUGGAGGUAUCAGAAGUGCGAAUGCUGACAUAAGUAACGAUAAUGCGGGUGAAAAACCCGCACGCCGGAAGACCAAGGGUUCCUGUCCAACGUUAAUCGGGGCAGGGUGAGUCGACCCCUAAGGCGAGGCCGAAAGGCGUAGUCGAUGGGAAACAGGUUAAUAUUCCUGUACUUGGUGUUACUGCGAAGGGGGGACGGAGAAGGCUAUGUUGGCCGGGCGACGGUUGUCCCGGUUUAAGCAUGUAGGCGGAUGUUCCAGGUAAAUCCGGAACGUCACUAACGCUGAGGUGUGAUGACGAGGCACUACGGUGCUGAAGUGACAAAUGCCCUGCUUCCAGGAAAAGCCUCUAAGCAUCAGGUAACAUCAAAUCGUACCCCAAACCGACACAGGUGGUCAGGUAGAGAAUACCAAGGCGCUUGAGAGAACUCGGGUGAAGGAACUAGGCAAAAUGGUGCCGUAACUUCGGGAGAAGGCACGCUGAUGGUAAGUGAAACGACUUGCUCAUGGAGCUGAAAUCAGUCGAAGAUACCAGCUGGCUGCAACUGUUUAUUAAAAACACAGCACUGUGCAAACACGAAAGUGGACGUAUACGGUGUGACGCCUGCCCGGUGCCGGAAGGUUAAUUGAUGGGGUUAUCCUCACGGAGAAGCUCUUGAUCGAAGCCCCGGUAAACGGCGGCCGUAACUAUAACGGUCCUAAGGUAGCGAAAUUCCUUGUCGGGUAAGUUCCGACCUGCACGAAUGGCGUAAUGAUGGCCAGGCUGUCUCCACCCGAGACUCAGUGAAAUUGAACUCGCUGUGAAGAUGCAGUGUACCCGCGGCAAGACGGAAAGACCCCGUGAACCUUUACUAUAGCUUGACACUGAACACUGGUCCUUGAUGUGUAGGAUAGGUGGGAGGCUUUGAAGUGUGGACGCCAGUCUGCAUGGAGCCAUCCUUGAAAUACCACCCUUUAAUGGCUGGGGUUCUAACGUGGGCCCGUGAUCCGGGUUGCGGACAGUGUCUGGUGGGUAGUUUGACUGGGGCGGUCUCCUCCUAAAGAGUAACGGAGGAGCACGAAGGUCAGCUAAUCCUGGUCGGACAUCAGGAGGUUAGUGCAAUGGCAUAAGCUGGCUUGACUGCGAGCGUGACGGCGCGAGCAGGUGCGAAAGCAGGUCAUAGUGAUCCGGUGGUUCUGAAUGGAAGGGCCAUCGCUCAACGGAUAAAAGGUACUCCGGGGAUAACAGGCUGAUACCGCCCAAGAGUUCAUAUCGACGGCGGUGUUUGGCACCUCGAUGUCGGCUCAUCACAUCCUGGGGCUGAAGUAGGUCCCAAGGGUAUGGCUGUUCGCCAUUUAAAGUGGUACGCGAGCUGGGUUUAGAACGUCGUGAGACAGUUCGGUCCCUAUCUGCCGUGGGCGCUGGAGAAUUGAGGGGGGCUGCUCCUAGUACGAGAGGACCGGAGUGGACGCAUCACUGGUGUUCGGGUUGUCAUGCCAAUGGCAUUGCCCGGUAGCUAAAUGCGGAAGAGAUAAGUGCUGAAAGCAUCUAAGCACGAAACUUGCCCCGAGAUGAGUUCUCCCUGACUCCUUGAGAGUCCUGAAGGAACGUUGAAGACGACGACGUUGAUAGGCCGGGUGUGUAAGCGCAGCGAUGCGUUGAGCUAACCGGUACUAAUGAACCGUGAGGCUUAACCUU
Molecule: ribosomal RNA, 2061 nt
Filed under: Klebsiella oxytoca 10-5245
Lineage: Bacteria; Pseudomonadati; Pseudomonadota; Gammaproteobacteria; Enterobacterales; Enterobacteriaceae
Description: bacterial LSU rRNA
Rfam family: Bacterial large subunit ribosomal RNA
Source: RNAcentral